RNAcentral lists this ribosomal RNA (237 nucleotides) under uncultured bacterium. RNAcentral describes it as "partial 16S ribosomal RNA". It matches the Rfam family "Bacterial small subunit ribosomal RNA", at positions 30 to 274 of the family's 1533-position model. The record is from RNAcentral.
UUGAACGCUGGCGGCAUGCCUUACACAUGCAAGUCGAACGGUAGAGGGGCAACCCUUGAGAGUGGCGAACGGGUGAGUAAUAUAUCGGAACGUGCCCAGUCGUGGGGGAUAACGCAGCGAAAGCUGCGCUAAUACCGCAUACGAUCUAUGGAUGAAAGCGGGGGAUCGCAAGACCUCGCGCGAUUGGAGCGGCCGAUAUCAGAUUAGGUAGUUGGUGGGGUAAAAGCCCACCAAGCC